Molecule: transfer RNA, 72 nt
Filed under: Camelus bactrianus (Bactrian camel)
Lineage: Eukaryota; Metazoa; Chordata; Mammalia; Artiodactyla; Camelidae
Also listed under: 2 other names
Rfam family: tRNA
About the family: Transfer RNA (tRNA) molecules are approximately 80 nucleotides in length. Their secondary structure includes four short double-helical elements and three loops (D, anti-codon, and T loops).
Source: Rfam by way of RNAcentral
GAGGGUAUAGCUUAGUGGUAGAGCACGUGCUUAGCACACACAGGGUCCUGGGUUCAUUUCCAAGUACCUCCA